ACUCAUACCUUGCAGGGGAAAUACUAUGUCAUAAAAGUGGUUUUCCCAGGGUGAGGCUCAUCCAUUGCAUUUUGGGUAUGCUGAUCCCUAUGAUUUCCCCAAAUGUGGGAAACUCAACUGCAUAAUGUAUGUUAAUGGGGGAUUGUGUUUGUGACUUCCCUCA
This 163-nucleotide small nuclear RNA is filed under the name Pogona vitticeps (central bearded dragon). Its description in RNAcentral is "U1 spliceosomal RNA (ENSPVIG00000005430.1)". It matches the Rfam family "U1 spliceosomal RNA". From Rfam's summary of the family: U1 is a small nuclear RNA (snRNA) component of the spliceosome (involved in pre-mRNA splicing). The record is from Rfam by way of RNAcentral. Lineage: Eukaryota; Metazoa; Chordata; Lepidosauria; Squamata; Agamidae.